CCUACGGGUGGCAGCAGUGGGGAAUAUUGCACAAUGGGGGAAACCCUGAUGCAGCGACGCCGCGUGAAGGAAGAAGUAUUUCGGUAUGUAAACUUCUAUCAGCAGGGAAGAAAAUGACGGUACCUGACUGAGAAGCCACGGCCCAAUACGUGCCAGCAGCCGCGGUACUACGGAGGGGGCAGGCGUUAUCCGGAUUUACUGGGUGUAAAGGGAGCGUAGGCGGUUUAGCAAGUCAGAAGUGAAAUCCCGGGGCUCAACUCCGGGACUGCUUUUGAAACUGGUGAACUAGAUUGCGGGAGAGGUAAGUGGAAUUCCUAGUGUAGCGGUGAAAUGCGUAGAUAUGAGGAGGAACACCAGUGGCGAAGGCGGCUUACUGGACUGUAAAUGACGCUGAGGCUCGAAAGCGUGGGGAGCGAACAGGAUUAGAUACCCCAGUAGUC
Molecule: ribosomal RNA, 440 nt
Filed under: uncultured bacterium
Lineage: Bacteria
Description: partial 16S ribosomal RNA
Rfam family: Bacterial small subunit ribosomal RNA
Source: RNAcentral